RNAcentral lists this transfer RNA (73 nucleotides) under Intoshia linei. It matches the Rfam family "tRNA". From Rfam's summary of the family: Transfer RNA (tRNA) molecules are approximately 80 nucleotides in length. The record is from Rfam by way of RNAcentral. Lineage: Eukaryota; Metazoa; Orthonectida; Rhopaluridae.
GUCCUUGUGGCGUAAUGGAUAGCGCAUCGGACUUCUAAUCCGGGGGUUGCGGGUUCGAGUCCCGUCAGGGACU